RNAcentral lists this ribosomal RNA (570 nucleotides) under Chryseobacterium sp. ISP2-43-3. RNAcentral describes it as "bacterial SSU rRNA". It matches the Rfam family "Bacterial small subunit ribosomal RNA", at positions 68 to 638 of the family's 1533-position model. The record is from RNAcentral. Lineage: Bacteria; Pseudomonadati; Bacteroidota; Flavobacteriia; Flavobacteriales; Weeksellaceae.
GGUAUUUAUUCUUCGGAAUAGAGAGAGCGGCGUACGGGUGCGGAACACGUGUGCAACCUGCCUUUAUCAGGGGGAUAGCCUUUCGAAAGGAAGAUUAAUACCCCAUAAUAUAUUGACUGGCAUCAUUUGAUAUUGAAAACUCCGGUGGAUAGAGAUGGGCACGCGCAAGAUUAGAUAGUUGGUAGGGUAACGGCCUACCAAGUCAGUGAUCUUUAGGGGGCCUGAGAGGGUGAUCCCCCACACUGGUACUGAGACACGGACCAGACUCCUACGGGAGGCAGCAGUGAGGAAUAUUGGACAAUGGGUGAGAGCCUGAUCCAGCCAUCCCGCGUGAAGGACGACGGCCCUAUGGGUUGUAAACUUCUUUUGUAUAGGGAUAAACCUUUCCACGUGUGGAAAGCUGAAGGUACUAUACGAAUAAGCACCGGCUAACUCCGUGCCAGCAGCCGCGGUAAUACGGAGGGUGCAAGCGUUAUCCGGAUUUAUUGGGUUUAAAGGGUCCGUAGGCGGAUCUGUAAGUCAGUGGUGAAAUCUCAUAGCUUAACUAUGAAACUGCCAUUGAUACUGCAG